UAUCACAGCCAGCAGUAAUAUAGCCUUAACGACGGCACAGACUUGUGUAUGAACGAAGCCCAAUUAGCUGCCUUAAAUACGUGCCCAGUUUGUAUCUGGUAGUAAUGUUUCUGUAGUAUACUGGAGGCCAACUGACAGCCGCUUUAGAAGAAGAGUCUUGCAUUUCCAUGCCUUCUGCAGGAGAAUAAUUUUAUUUGAAGACAUGCAGAGACUUCAAAGUGCUACUCCCUUCUGAUGCAUGAGGAGUGAAGCAGGCUUUCCCUUCUCCGCUUCCAUGUGGUGGCGAGACCUCAUGAAUAGGACUUUCCCAGGGCAGAGUGAGAAGGAAAGCAAAGGCACACAGUCACUCUGGGUCUCAAGCAGGAGCACAAUAGCUGGGAUACCCAAGCCUGAAAUCCCCAACAUUGGUAUUGGUCAUUUCUAAUCUUGGGACCGAUGCUGGGACCAACAACAUCAGUGGCAAAGAUCCUGUUAGAAGUAACCCACAGAAUCAGGCCUCGGAUGCCACCUCCAAGACUUCUCCAAGGUGAAGAUAUGAGUUGUUCAGCCUCCAAAGCAG
Molecule: long non-coding RNA, 559 nt
Organism: Gallus gallus (chicken)
Lineage: Eukaryota; Metazoa; Chordata; Aves; Galliformes; Phasianidae
Source: Ensembl